AUUCACUCCCUUGGUUUGUUCCUCUCUGAAAUGUAAGGAUUUUUAACGCCUCUACCAAAAAUCUAUGAAUUUAUGAUGUGAGGUUAUGGUCUAGAAGUGUAUAAGAGAAAGUCUGGUGGUAAAAGUAGCUGCUUUCAUUAGGAAUUGAUAUCCUGUGAGAGCCCAAAAAGCCUAGAUUAACAGUAGGCAUAUACUGAGUGUCUAAGGGCAGGUGAUGACUACCUUCUGCUGCAUGAGGCACAUACAGUUCUCCUUAGCUCCCAACCAAAGCCUCUUUGUUCCUUGCUCUUCCUUUCUGGGUUCAUGGUAGAUUAUGUGCCCAAGCAGUGCAAAGAGGAAUAGCCCUUUGACCAGUGUUUG
RNAcentral lists this long non-coding RNA (360 nucleotides) under Marmota monax (woodchuck). Lineage: Eukaryota; Metazoa; Chordata; Mammalia; Rodentia; Sciuridae. The record is from RNAcentral.